UCGAAAACCUGUCCCAGUUCGGACUGGAGUCUGCAACCCGACUCCACGAAGUUGGAUUCGCUAGUAAUCGCGCAUCAGCCAUGGCGCGGUGAAUACGUUCCCGGGCCUUGUACACACCGCCCGUCAAGCCAUGGGAGCCGGGGGCGCCUGAAGUCUGGGACCGCGAGGACCGGCCUAGGGCGAAACUGGUGACUGGGGCUAAGUCGUAACAAGGUAGC
RNAcentral lists this ribosomal RNA (218 nucleotides) under uncultured bacterium. RNAcentral's name for it is "partial 16S ribosomal RNA". It matches the Rfam family "Bacterial small subunit ribosomal RNA", at positions 1275 to 1500 of the family's 1533-position model. The record is from RNAcentral.